AUGGCAUUUAUCAAUAGAUACCUUGAGGAUUUGGAAAUAGUUGCAGAACUUGCAAGCAAAUAUUCUGCCCAGAAAGUCCCUGCUACUAGUCCAAAGCAAGCUCGUUGGGUUCCAUCAAAAGGUUUAACAGUUAAAAUUAAUGUUGAUGGAGGCUUGGCACGCAAUGGUCAGAGGGGUGCCGCACCCGCGGUCUGCAGGGACAGUUCGGGACUUUUUCUAGGUGCUUCGGCGCUCGUUAUCAAGGGCCUGGUUGAUCCACCUGGUUUGGAAGCGUAAGCAUGUAAUGAGGCACUAGCUCUGGCGGGUGAUCUGAAUGUAACUUCGGUCCUUACUGCGUCAGACUAUUUGGAGGUAUUUAACAAUAUUAAUCAGGUUUGCUUCAGUUCUUUUGCUCCAAUUCUCCGGGAGAUUCAACAACGGAGGACCUUGUUUGGGAAUACGAUGGUCAAAUAUGAAGCCAGGGUUUUAAAUGACGAAGUGCACCGGCCGGCUAAAGCUUGUGCUGCUUCAGAUGUAGGAUGUCAUCUAUGGCUGGGUAGUCCUCCUUUUUGUUGA
RNAcentral lists this ribosomal RNA (555 nucleotides) under Triticum aestivum (bread wheat). Its description in RNAcentral is "partial small subunit ribosomal RNA". The record is from RNAcentral. Lineage: Eukaryota; Viridiplantae; Streptophyta; Magnoliopsida; Poales; Poaceae.